GUGUUCAAACAUGUUAUGAUGGAAGCAAAAUAAAAAAGAAAGGGUUGCCUAAAACUAGCACACAAUCAAUAUCUAAAAAUAUUGAUUAUUCAAAAUGUGAAAUUUGCGAAGGAACAUUUUUUUAUAUAAACAGUAAAGGUAAGGGUCAGGGUAAUAUAUCUAUGUUACAAAAAUAUCAUACAUACACUACAAAUAUUCUAAAAAUCAAUACUGUAAACUCUUUAUUGAAUGACCUGAGCACCUUUGAAGACUACAAUAAUUUUUUGAUGCAUGAUGUCAACUGGUUUACAUUUUUAUUUUUAUUUAGAAUGGUGACAUAUCCAAAUAUAUACCUCUACAACAUACCUAACGCCAUGUAUUUAUUUACAAAACAAAUGGAAAAAAAAAAGAACACUCUGUAUGCAAACCAUUGGUACCCAUCUUUUUUAAAAAAAUACCGUAUCAAUAAAACCAAAGAAGAAAAAGCAGUCCACUUAGUAAAAUGUAAGCAUAAAAAUAUAAAGUCAAAAAUGUAAGCAUAAAAAUGUAAAAUCAAAAAUGUAAGCAUAAAAAUGUAAAGUCAAAAAUGUAAGCAUAAAAAUGUAAAGAUAAAAAUGUAAAGUCAAAAAUGUAUAUAUAUAUAUAUAUAUUUAUAUAUACAAAUACAUGUUAUUUUUUUUGUUUAGCUGUUCCUAACUUAUGUUCAUAUAUCCUAUAUUUAACCAUGAUCCACUUCAUUUAAAUAACAUUUUUUUUUUUUUUUUUUUUUUUUUUUUUUUUUUUUUUUUUUUUAUUUNNNNNNNNNNNNNNNNNNNNNNNNNNNNNNNNNNNNNNNNNNNNNNNNNNNNNNNNNNNNNNNNNNNNNNNNNNNNNNNNNNNNNNNNNNNNNNNNNNNNUUAAAACCUGAUACAAUAGAGAAAAUGAAAAAAUGCAUAAAAUUUAUGAUUCAUGUAAAUGCAAUGUUACAACUUGAUUUUUUUUAUUUUUUAAAUGAACCACCAUUAAAUAAGCAACACCAAUAUUCUUUAAUGAUGGCAAUCGAGGCAAGGUUUAGAGUCUGGAUGAUGAACCAAGCAACUGCUUUUAAUUUAUCAAGCUUUGAUGAAGAUGACCUUACACAUUUUACAUAUAAUCAUACACACAAAGGUCCUUACAUUUCAUCAAAAUUACAAUGGUGGACAGCACAAAUAAAAACAAUGUUUCAAGACGCUUUUGACAAUAUAUUUAACCAAAAACAUUAUAAAACUUUAUUAAAAAACUAUGACUCUUAUAAUAUUAGUAAUAAAAUUAUGCUAAUGAAAGAUACUUAUGAACUGUUUUUAAAAAAUUAUGAAAAUAUUUACUUCACAGGUGAUAUUAUGUUGUUAUCGAAAUUUUUUGACACUACUCCUAAAAUAAAAAUAAAAAAAGAUAGACAACAUUAUAUAUACAAGAAUACAUUUGGAAAUGCAGUAAACUAUUAUAAAUGUGGUAUUAUUUAUGGUUAUACAAUAAACAAACUUUUAAUAAAAGAAGUGGUUGAUGAAUUAUUUACGAUAUAUAAAUUAAACCAACAUAAAUUUACUGAAAUUAUCUUUAUGCAGACUGUUCGUUUGCUUUUUAAAGAAAUACAAAAAAGUUUUUUUUCUCACCGAAGAAACGAUAAAAUAAGCAUGAAUAACCUUUUCUUUUUUAACAUCCGAAAUGACUACUCCAAAUUAAACCCAGAACAAAGACAAAAUGAAAUAAAUUAUGCGAUGGCAUCCAGAUUUUAUGAAAAAACAAUGUUUUCAAUAUUUCACAUUAUGUUUAUUAUUAAAAUCAGUCGGCAUUUAGAUAAACUAGACCAAUUAUAUGGAAAGGCUACUAUGAUGCAUUACUCAGUACAUGAGAAACCAUAUGUGUAUUUUAAGCAUAUAUAUCAUAAUAGUUUACAAGAUAUUGCUUUAAAUGUAUUUUUCCCUAUGUAUAUUAAAAAACCAGUUACACAGUUAAAAUAUGGAAAAACGUUUGUUUUUGCUUAUAUGUUAAAACUUACUUCCGAAUUAUUUAGUAUAUAUAAUUUAAACAAUUUAAGUUUAUUAUGUCAAUAUCAAGCUGUUAUUACAGCUAACUUCUAUGCAUUUAAAAAAGUUGCAGCAUAUAUUGAUAGACUAUUUGUACCAAUGGUUAUAUUUUUCUUUUUUUUUAAAAUUAAAGUUGAAUUAGAUGAAGCUGGAAAAGAUUUUCUACCAACAUACUUAAGUAGAUUUGAAGGAUCAAAAUCAUUGAUAACUAUUACUAAUAUUCUUAUAUAUGUUGGUGGCAAUAUUUUAUAUCAAAAUGCUUUAUUUUUUCCUAAUCAUUUGUCUUAUGAAUUAAGGAAACAAGCUCCAGAAAUUCCACAUAUGAUACCAUCAGAUAAACCACAAGCACAUUAUAUUGAUGGAAAUAUUAUAUUUGGAGUUGUACAUAGUUUAUCUGUUACUUUUAUUUUAGCAACUUUAAUGAGAUGGUAUUCAUUUAUGGAUAAUAUUUUAUUUAUGUUUAGAGUUACAUUCCGUAUAUUUGAUAGAUAUUAUGAAAUAAUUAAUGAUCUCCUUUGUUUAUUUUUUAGAAGAAUAUUUAAUAAAAUGAGUGCUAACAUUUUCUUAAAAGCACUUGCCAAAAUUUAUUUAGAGUCACAAAAAGCAGGAUAUUUCGAAGAAGUAAAACAGUCCAGAUUGUAUGCUAAAACGUUUACCGAAGACAAAGUCACAUAUAAACAGUUUUCACAAAGAAAUAAUAAUUUGCUGCAAUUUGUGGAUAUUGAAAAUCAAGUACAAAAGGGUUUAUUGUCUUAUAAUGAUAAGCACUCUUACUUUAAUGACUUAGAAGAAAGUGAGGAAUUUUUGAACGACAAAAGCUUAACCUACUACGAAGAUCAAGUAAACAAGUAAAGUUCAUUAAAAAAAAAAAAAAAAAAAAAAAAAAAAAAAAAAAAAAAAAAAAAAAAAAAAAAAAAAAAAAAAAAAAAAAAAAAAAAAAUAUGUUAUAGUUAUAGUUAUGAUUAUAGUUAUAGUUAUGAUUAUAGUUAUAGUUAUGAUUAUAGUUAUAGUUAUGAUUAUAGUUAUAGUUAUGAUUAUAGUUAUAGUUAUGUUAUAGUUAUAGUACACACAAAAGUAUGUUUAUGUAGAAAGUUACUAUUUGUUAUUAUUUUUUUUUUUAACAUUUAUUUGUGUUUGACUUCGCUUUAAAUCUUUUUCUCUUUUAAUUAUGUUCAUUUGGCUCGCUUUUCUCAUUUUUAUGUCAACAUUUUUGAAUGCCGUUUUAUGGAACUUACUUUAUUUUUUUUUAAAAACCCUCCUUCUUAAUAAAUUAUUGCAAUGUAUAUAUAUAUAUAUAUAU
This is a long non-coding RNA of Piliocolobus tephrosceles (Ugandan red Colobus), 3324 nucleotides long. Lineage: Eukaryota; Metazoa; Chordata; Mammalia; Primates; Cercopithecidae. The record is from Ensembl.